GAAUAUUGGACAAUGGGGGGAACCCUGGUCCAGCCAUGCCGCGUGUGUGGAGAAGGCCUUUUGGUUGUAAAGCACUUUAAGCGAGGAGGAGGCUACUUAGAUUAAUACUCUAGGAUAGUGGACGUUAAUCGCCAGAGAAGCAGCGGCUAAGUCUGUGCCAGCAGCCGCGGUAAUACAGAGGUUGCAAACGUUAAUCGGAUUUACUGGGCGUAAAGCGCGCGCAGGUGGCCAAUUCAUUCAAAUGUGAAAUCCCCGAGCUUAACUUGGGAAUUGCAUUCGAUACUGGUUGGCUAGAGUAUGGGAGAGGAUGGUAGAAUUCCAGGUGGAGCGGUGAAAUGCGUAGAGAUCUGGAGGAAUACCGAUGGCGAAGGCAGCCAUCUGGCCUAAUACUGACACUGAGGUGCGAAAGCAUGGGGAGCAAACA
RNAcentral lists this ribosomal RNA (424 nucleotides) under uncultured bacterium. RNAcentral's name for it is "partial 16S ribosomal RNA". It matches the Rfam family "Bacterial small subunit ribosomal RNA", at positions 359 to 774 of the family's 1533-position model. The record is from RNAcentral.